Molecule: long non-coding RNA, 156 nt
Organism: Alligator sinensis (Chinese alligator)
Lineage: Eukaryota; Metazoa; Chordata; Crocodylia; Alligatoridae
Exons: 3
Source: RefSeq, a predicted model, not a curated record
UGCAUUUUGGCCCAUGUCACUUGGGUGCCAUCCAUGGAAGACUGAGAGAGGAUAAUUGAAAAGACUGGACUCCUAAAAUUAAAGUACAAGACCAAAUGGUUUUCCUGUCGCACGAGGGAAUCAGUGGGCAGUCUAGAUACCCAAGGCUAGAGGGAC